GACGAACGCUGGCGGCGUGCCUAAUACAUGCAAGUUGAGCGCUGAAGGUUGGUACUUGUACCAACUGGAUGAGCAGCGAACGGAUGAGUAACGCGUGGGGAAUCUGCCUUUGAGCGGGGGACAACAUUUGGAAACGAAUGCUAAUACCGCAUAAAAACUUUAAACACAAGUUUUAAGUUUGAAAGAUGCAAUUGCAUCACUCAAAGAUGAUCCCGCGUUGUAUUAGCUAGUUGGUGAGGUAAAGGCUCACCAAGGCGAUGAUACAUAGCCGACCUGAGAGGGUGAUCGGCCACAUUGGGACUGAGACACGGCCCAAACUCCUACGGGAGGCAGCAGUAGGGAAUCUUCGGCAAUGGACGAAAGUCUGACCGAGCAACGCCGCGUGAGUGAAGAAGGUUUUCGGAUCGUAAAACUCUGUUGGUAGAGAAGAACGUUGGUGAGAGUGGAAAGCUCAUCAAGUGACGGUAACUACCCAGAAAGGGACGGCUAACUACGUG
RNAcentral lists this ribosomal RNA (497 nucleotides) under uncultured bacterium. RNAcentral describes it as "partial 16S ribosomal RNA". It matches the Rfam family "Bacterial small subunit ribosomal RNA", at positions 28 to 507 of the family's 1533-position model. The record is from RNAcentral.